UACAGAGGUCCCAAGCGUUGUUCGGAUUCACUGGGCGUAAAGGGUGCGUAGGCGGCCGGGUAAGUCUGAUGUGAAAUCUCACAGCUUAACUGUGAAACUGCAUUGGAUACUAUCCGGCUCGAGGAAUGGAGGGGAGACUGGAAUACUUGGUGUAGCAGUGAAAUGCGUAGAUAUCAAGAGGAACACCAGUGGCGAAGGCGAGUCCCUGGACAACUUCUGACGCUGAGGCACGAAAGCUAGGGGAGCAAACAGG
Molecule: ribosomal RNA, 253 nt
Filed under: uncultured bacterium
Lineage: Bacteria
Description: partial 16S ribosomal RNA
Rfam family: Bacterial small subunit ribosomal RNA
Source: RNAcentral